This 314-nucleotide unclassified non-coding RNA is filed under the name plant metagenome. RNAcentral describes it as "partial contains 5.8S ribosomal RNA, internal transcribed spacer 2, and large subunit ribosomal RNA". The stretch from base 1 to 105 matches the Rfam family "5.8S ribosomal RNA", at positions 50 to 154 of the family's 154-position model. The record is from RNAcentral.
GAAAUGCGAUAAUUAAUGUGAAUUGCAGAAUUCAGUGAAUCAUCGAGUCUUUGAACGCACAUUGCGCCCCCUGGUAUCCCGGGGGGCAUGCCUGUCCGAGCGUCAUUGCUGCCCUCAAGCACGGCUUGUGUGUUGGGCUUCCGUCCCUGGCAACGGGGACGGGCCCAAAAGGCAGUGGCGGCACCAUGUCUGGUCCUCGAGCGUAUGGGGCUUUGUCACCCGCUCCCGUAGGUCCAGCUGGCAGCUAGCCUCGCAACCAAUCUUUUUAACCAGGUUGACCUCGGAUCAGGUAGGGAUACCCGCUGAACUUAAGC